RNAcentral lists this ribosomal RNA (253 nucleotides) under uncultured bacterium. Its description in RNAcentral is "partial 16S ribosomal RNA". It matches the Rfam family "Bacterial small subunit ribosomal RNA", at positions 524 to 776 of the family's 1533-position model. The record is from RNAcentral.
CACGUAGGAGGCGAGCGUUGUCCGGAAUCAUUGGGCGUAAAGAGCGCGCAGGCGGCUUGGCAAGUCGGGUGUGAAAUCCCGGGGCUCAACCCCGUGACUGCAUUCGAUACUGUCAGGCUAGAGGUAGGUAGGGGAGAUCGGAAUUCCUGGUGUAGCGGUGAAAUGCGCAGAUAUCAGGAGGAACACCGGUGGCGAAGGCGGUUCUCUGGGCAUUACCUGACGCUGAGGAGCGAAAGUGUGGGGAGCGAACAGG